AGUUUUGAUCUUGGCUCAGAUUGAACGCUGGCGGCAGGCCUAACACAUGCAAGUCGAGCGGUAACAGAGAGUAGCUUGCUACUCUGCUGACGAGCGGCGGACGGGUGAGUAAUGCUUGGGAAUAUGCCUUAUGGUGGGGGACAACAGUUGGAAACGACUGCUAAUACCGCAUGAUGUCUACGGACCAAAGUGGGGGACCUUCGGGCCUCACGCCAUAAGAUUAGCCCAAGUGGGAUUAGCUAGUUGGUGAGGUAAUGGCUCACCAAGGCGACGAUCCCUAGCUGGUUUGAGAGGAUGAUCAGCCACACUGGGACUGAGACACGGCCCAGACUCCUACGGGAGGCAGCAGUGGGGAAUAUUGCACAAUGGGCGCAAGCCUGAUGCAGCCAUGCCGCGUGUGUGAAGAAGGCCUUCGGGUUGUAAAGCACUUUCAGUAAGGAGGAAAGGUUAAGUGUUAAUAGCACUUAGCUGUGACGUAC
RNAcentral lists this ribosomal RNA (479 nucleotides) under Pseudoalteromonas sp. B10(2012). Its description in RNAcentral is "bacterial SSU rRNA". It matches the Rfam family "Bacterial small subunit ribosomal RNA", at positions 10 to 482 of the family's 1533-position model. Lineage: Bacteria; Pseudomonadati; Pseudomonadota; Gammaproteobacteria; Alteromonadales; Pseudoalteromonadaceae. The record is from RNAcentral.